Molecule: long non-coding RNA, 404 nt
Organism: Sander lucioperca (pikeperch)
Lineage: Eukaryota; Metazoa; Chordata; Actinopteri; Perciformes; Percidae
Exons: 2
Source: RefSeq, a predicted model, not a curated record
CUCGGAAAUGUACCCGAUCUAGCGCAAUUUUAUCAAGAGGUUUCGAGCCAUUUUACAGGCUUAGCAGAGAGAGUGAGACCAGAGGUUAGACCUAAUGACAUCGUACAGGUUGAAAUAAUAGCUGGAAAUGCUCAAGAACACGAUAUCAUUCGAAGUCAGUGAGAGGGGUGUCGACUUUCAGACCGUUUUUGAAGGGUUACUGGAACGGUUGAUACAAUCUAACCGAAAUAUUGACGACGAGUCCAAUCUAGAAUUCUUUAUUCAAGUGGUGCGUAACCCUAGAGGUGGUGGUGGUGGUGUUAAACGAAAAAUAAAAAAAACUUUGGACUGUGAAAUCAUUAAUAAGAAAAGAAAACAUUUGUAUAUAGUACACAACCGCAACAAUAAACUAUGCUUUGCCAUCA